UCGAAAGACAUUCAUUCAAGAGAUCCUAACGUGAUUAUCGUAAAUAGCUGGAAUUGUAGAUAUUUACAAUGACAUAGAUCAUUUUUCUUCGACGUAAUUACGGCCUAAUGUCGAGACAAGAAUAAUAUGACGCUGAUCUGUGUUUUGACAAGAAUAUGAAUGAUCUUAAGAAAAGGCUUCGCUGAAUCAAUUGGAAGACAGCGUCUUCAAUUGUCCUACUAAAUUCUUUACGGAUGACAUCUGGGUCUAGGGAGAUCAUGCAAAAAAAUAAGACAUCAUUUAUAACUUUCAACCUUCCGCUCACAGGACUAAUUCUCGAAGACGCUACGAAAAGAUGCUGAGCUUGAUGAUAAUUCUUCAGGCUCCCAAUUCAAGAAUACAAUUACUUAGUGUGGGUGCCUCUGCUCAGUCUUCGUUUCCUAUCUCCACAUACGAAUCACUCGCUUGUUACUAAUUCGAAUAAUUUACUGCUGUAAGGAGUCGUACCGCCAACUAAAUCUGAAUAACAAUUUGGCUGCUAGAAGUCAAAAAGUAGGCGCUGCAAUGAUUAUGUGGUAUGAUCAGAUUGUGUCGCAACAUUCAGCGGGGUUUUGACUCAAUGGGACCGCUGCUAAUAAAGUGUUUAACUAGCGAAUUUUGGAACACACCCGUUGACAAAAGUAUAAGGAGUCUCUUUCCGUGAGUUCCCCUCUUCCUCUCACUGCACUUCAACUAUGCCUUAUAGCAACCAAGAAGCUAGAAAAUGCCAACUAUUAAAAAGAUAACCUCUUUGGAAUUAAAUAAAACGGAGAUUAUCUUGGGAUCUAUUUCACAAAUUUACGGCUAAUUGGAAUGAACAGCGCCAAGUAGCACUGGACAAACUGCAGAGAGUAUUAGAACUUGCUUUAUUCCGUAUAUCGUACUUUAGGUCGUCAGUUUUACCACUUCGGUACGCAAAUGAAAAUAAAAAGCUCAUUCACAACUUAGACACAAUUUCGCCGUUUACAAGUAGCUGAAAAGUCCAUCUAUCGAAUUAUGAAUGAUACUAUUUUAAAUAUCGUCGUUACUGCACUCGUUUUCCACGUUCUUUUUAUCCACACAUCCGAUGUUUUAUUUACAGUUGAGCAUCUCAGGGCCAGCGACAAAUAUAAACAUAUUAUACUCAAAAUGAAGCUCGUUGAAAAGAGAAUAUUUCUUAACCUCUUUUACAGUGCUUUCAACACCUUUUCACCUGUGUGCCAUGUCAGAUUAAGGAUGCUCAACUUUUCGAAUUAUUAUUACAAAUUUCAAAGAAAUUACUAGUCCUUUUUGUGCCCUAAUGUAUCCCUCAUUUCAUACCGUCGUUUUGGGGUUCCAACUACGUAUAGCUUUCAAGUGUGGUUUUACGGUAAGAACAACCCCCCAUCGGUUGGUGCGGAAUACUUUCCUAUUCUCAUCGAGAGCCGAGCCAUACACCUAAGGUGGACAGAAAGCUAAAAUUCCAAAACAGAAAAAUCUAACGUCUUUGCUCCCUUACAAGUAGGAACGCUGGCGUAUCAACCCGUCUCCAGAUUUGCCCAGCAUUUCUGUAGAACACCCAAUGCGAAUGAAGACUAAUGAAUAUUGUAAAGACAAAAAAUAGGAAAAGUUUAAUUAGUGAUGGUUCUCACCACCCCAAAACGGUCACUUGCAUGCAUUGAGGACAUGCACCUGCAGUACUUGUUUUUCUCGAAUGUUUUUACCAUCUCUUUUUUCCUUAUCUGAGCUACUGACGCAGACGGACAUUGUUUCAUAUUUCGAAAGCUGUGCGGGAAAACGGACCCUAACACGAAUGUGAAUGCGCUAAUCAAUAUUUCCACCACAUGAAACCUGCUACUUUUUCAGUCCUCUUCGUAUGCAUUUCCCAAAAUUCAUUCGUAGCCUUGUCAACUUAGACUCAGUUCCACGGCGUGCAGGACGGGGUAUUAUGAAUAAAAGGAUCCACGGGCGAGAUUUGUUCUAUGUUUUAGGUAUGGAGUUUUGUACCACAAAACUUUAGGAAUACCGGAUUGUGUGCCUACGCCAGCCCCAGAGUAUGUUCUCACAGCUGUAAUUCCUCGUGAUCUUUUCCUGGCUCCAAUAGGAACGCCGGCAGGCAAAUUAAACUUUCGCGGCAGGAAAAAAAAGACUUUUCUUUUUUGCGUUUCAGUUUCUCGGAAUGUGGCAUUACAUAAGCAAAAUCCUUUUUGGGUGUGCCUGGAAAGUUCAAAUUAAGGUUUUUCUCUUCUGUUUUCUUGACAAGAAAAUGUCGCAAGAAAAUGUCGCAAGAAAAUGUCGCCCAAAGAGUUUCGGCCGUUAUUUCCCUAUCGAAGUGGGUCCUUUUUGUCUUUAGUCCUUCUCUGGGGCUAGCGAUCACUGCAAAAUUAGGCUUUACUGGUAGGAGUUAACUUUUUUUCUUUUUUUUUGUCAUCCUUUUCUUUGGGGCUAAGAAUGGACUUCCCUUUUCUUUUUCUUUGUUGCAGCAGUGGCUUCAAAGAACUGCUGAUUGCUCAAGGCAAUCAGUCCGAGCGUUUAGAAGGUGAUUGUAGACAGAAAUUAACUUUGCGGUAAAAGAAUAACAUUCUUUCUUAAAAGAAAAAUUAGCUUUUUUUUGUCAGGCAUUGCACAAACUUUUUUAUUUCUGCCUAUACUCUUAAACAGAUCAGUCAUUCAUGUUGUCUUUUUAACGAUCGUACUGGGACAUCGCAUGCCUUGGGAUUCCGUAAUUAGGUGCAACAAUACGGGCACAACUCAUUCUGCGCUAUCUUCACGGACAGAACUUCUAUUGCCUAUCGGUGGUGUGAUUAACAAUUGGAAGCGCAGAGCUUGGAAUGGAUUUUCAAUUCAAUGGAUUUGGAGGUAUUCGUUUGUUUACUAAUAUUUACUUUGAGGACAUUGUCCAACCCUAAAAGUGCCUGUUCCAGAAUAGAAUAACAUUAUGAUACGUUUUCUUGACCGCUGAGCAAUUUAAAGCAACUAUUAGGGUACGAUUGUUUCUAGAGAAAUGUGGGUCAUCUUUUUAGGUCCGUUCUCUUCUGAUGAGGUAACCUUUUCUUUACAAAAAUGUCAUAGAGUUACCAAUUGGGAUUCAAGGCAUCAUCGCAAUAUACUUCGUUCUUUUACGGAGAAAUUAAGCUCUUUCCACUUUGAAUUAACUGUUAGACUUGUCUCAUCUGAGGAAUGUCCGUGUUCAAAUUAAAUAAAAAUUUAGGGCAGUUUUAUUUACCUUAACAAAUAUGUUCAAGCAUGUAGGU
Molecule: small RNA, 3230 nt
Filed under: Saccharomyces cerevisiae YJM326
Lineage: Eukaryota; Fungi; Ascomycota; Saccharomycetes; Saccharomycetales; Saccharomycetaceae
Also listed under: 4 other names
Description: ICR1
Source: RNAcentral